This 269-nucleotide ribosomal RNA is filed under the name uncultured bacterium. RNAcentral's name for it is "partial 16S ribosomal RNA". It matches the Rfam family "Bacterial small subunit ribosomal RNA", at positions 1223 to 1500 of the family's 1533-position model. The record is from RNAcentral.
UGUUACAAUGGGGGGUACAGAAGGCAGCUACACGGCGACGUGAUGCUAAUCCCCAAAACCUCUCUCAGUUCGGAUUGGAGUCUGCAACCCGACUCCAUGAAGCUGGAUUCGCUAGUAAUCGCGCAUCAGCCACGGCGCGGUGAAUACGUUCCCGGGCCUUGUACACACCGCCCGUCAAGCCAUGAAAGCCGGGGGUACCUGAAGUCCGUAACCGUAAGGAGCGGCCUAGGGUAAAACUGGUAAUUGGGGCUAAGUCGUAACAAGGUACC